AUGCCGGCACAAUUUUUGCACUUCACUGGGGUGACACCCCCCCCUGCGGUUCACUUGGCGAUGCAGAAUAGUUCUUUUGCUCUGCAUGUUGUUCGCUUGGCGCAGCAGUGCAAUUUUGUGCUCUACGUGCACUUCGGUGCACCAUGCAGUACACUCGUUGCGGUCGUGUGGUUCACUGGCGACUCUGGACCAGAGAUGCCACGUACAUGCGAGGUUCAGAUGUCCCUGGAGUGCAGCUCGGAUGGGCUACGUGCGAUGGCCUUGGUGUGCUUUCUUUUUCUGUUGUCCCUGGUUUUGUUGUUUUGA
This 306-nucleotide ribosomal RNA is filed under the name Triticum aestivum (bread wheat). RNAcentral's name for it is "partial small subunit ribosomal RNA". The record is from RNAcentral. Lineage: Eukaryota; Viridiplantae; Streptophyta; Magnoliopsida; Poales; Poaceae.